This 253-nucleotide ribosomal RNA is filed under the name uncultured bacterium. Its description in RNAcentral is "partial 16S ribosomal RNA". It matches the Rfam family "Bacterial small subunit ribosomal RNA", at positions 524 to 776 of the family's 1533-position model. The record is from RNAcentral.
UACGAAGGGGGCUAGCGUUGUUCGGAAUUACUGGGCGUAAAGGGCGCGUAGGCUGUGCUGUACGUCAGGCGUGAAAUCCCCGGGCUCAACCUGGGAAUUGCGUUUGAUACUGCGGCGCUGGAAUGCAGGAGAGGAUGGCGGAAUUCCCAGUGUAGAGGUGAAAUUCGUAGAUAUUGGGAAGAACACCGGUGGCGAAGGCGGCCAUCUGGCCUGUAAUUGACGCUGAGGCGCGAAAGCGUGGGGAGCAAACAGG